Non-coding RNA from Daldinia sp. FL1419, 86 nucleotides. NCBI's taxonomy places the organism in Eukaryota, Fungi, Ascomycota, Sordariomycetes, Xylariales, Hypoxylaceae. The record is from the annotation of a GenBank genome assembly.
GGGCGUGUAACUCAGUGGUAGAGUGCUCGCUUUGCAUUGCAUAUUAAAAUUGCGAGAAGCCCAGGGUUCGACUCCCUGCUCGUCCA